CUUAACACAUGCAAGUCGAGCGGUAACAGGCGUAGCAAUACGUGCUGACGAGCGGCGAACGGGUGCGUAAUACAUGGGAAUCUGCCUAGUAGUGGGGAAUAACCCGGCGAAAGCCGGGCUAAUGCCGCAUACGAUCCACGGAUGAAAGCGGGGGACCUUCGGGCCUCGCGCUAUUAGAUGAGCCCAUGCCGGAUUAGCUAGUUGGUGAGGUAACGGCUCACCAAGGCGACGAUCCGUAGCUGGUCUGAGAGGACGGCCAGCCACACUGGGACUGAGACACGGCCCAGACUCCUACGGGAGGCAGCAGUGGGGAAUAUUGGACAAUGGGGGCAACCCUGAUCCAGCGACGCCGCGUGUGUGAAGAAGGCCUGCGGGUUGUAAAGCACUUUCGGUGGGAACGAAAUAUGCCGGGCUAAUACCCCGGUAGGCUGACGUACUCAAGAAGAAGCCC
RNAcentral lists this ribosomal RNA (451 nucleotides) under uncultured Beggiatoa sp. RNAcentral describes it as "bacterial SSU rRNA". It matches the Rfam family "Bacterial small subunit ribosomal RNA", at positions 47 to 493 of the family's 1533-position model. Lineage: Bacteria; Pseudomonadati; Pseudomonadota; Gammaproteobacteria; Thiotrichales; Thiotrichaceae. The record is from RNAcentral.